AAUACUUAGUGGCAGACGGGUGAGUAACAUGUAGGUAUCUGCCCUUUGGCCUGGAAUAACACGAGGAAACUUGUGCUAAUACCGGAUAAGUCUUUACGGAGAAAGCUUUAUGCACCAUUGGAUGAGCCUGCACUUGAUUAGUUUGUUGGUAGGGUAAUGGCCUACCAAGACUGUGAUCAAUAGCUGAUUUGAGAGGAUGAUCAGCCACAUUGGGACUGAGACCCGGCCCAAACUCCUACGGGAGGCAGCAGUGGGGAAUCUUGCACAAUGGAGGAAACUCUGAUGCAGCGAUGCCGCGUGAGUGAAGAAGGCCUUUGGGUUGUAAAGCUCUUUCGUCGGGGAAGAAAAUGACUGUACCCGAAUAAGAAGGUCCGGCUAACUUCGUGCCAGCAGCCGCGGUAAUACGAAGGGACCUAGCGUAGUUCGGAAUUACUGGGCUUAAAGAGUUCGUAGGUGGUUGAAAAAGUUGGUGGUGAAAUCCCAGAGCUUAACUCUGGAACUGCCAUCAAAACUUUUCAGCUAGAGUUUGAUAGAGGAAAGCAGAAUUUCUAGUGUAGAGGUGAAAUUCGUAGAUAUUAGAAAGAAUACCAAUUGCGAAGGCAGCUUUCUGGAUCAUUACUGACACUGAGGAACGAAAGCAUGGGUAGCGAAGAGGAUUAGAUACCCUCGUAGUCCAUGCCGUAAACGAUGUGUGUUAGACGUUGGAAAUUUAUUUUCAGUGUCGCAGCGAAAGCGAUAAACACACCGCCUGGGGAGUACGACCGCAAGGUUAAAACUCAAAUGAAUUGACGGGGACCCGCACAAGUAGUGGAGCAUGUGGUUUAAUUCGAAGAUACGCGCAGAACCUUACCAACACUUGACAUGUUCGUCGCGACUCUAAGAGAUUAGAGUUUUCGGUUCGGCCGGACGAAACACAGGUGCUGCAUGGCUGUCGUCAGCUCGUGUCGUGAGAUGUUGGGGUUAA
RNAcentral lists this ribosomal RNA (964 nucleotides) under uncultured marine bacterium. Its description in RNAcentral is "bacterial SSU rRNA". It matches the Rfam family "Bacterial small subunit ribosomal RNA", at positions 87 to 1083 of the family's 1533-position model. The record is from RNAcentral.